GCAGGUCUUCUCCAGGCCACCUCCAGAGUCGGAUGAUUUGAGGUACCAUGAGCCGGUGUGGAGCCAAGUUUGGAAACGGUGUAAGAGACAGUCCAAAGAUCCCUCAUCUGCCUCAGGAUCAUUGCCGAGGACAGAGACUGAGCACAGGAGUCCUGGCCUGGCUGAGGUGGGAAGGACUGCGCUGAAGGGGAAAGGAAUGACCUGUCCUGUACACCUGUCUUGUACGUCUGUCCUGUACCCAUUUCCCAAAGCAACGGACCCCAUAACAACAGCUGUAGGUUUCCCAACCUCUUGGCCAGUUGCCCCUCACUUCUGAAAAGGACAUAAAAGGGA
Molecule: long non-coding RNA, 333 nt
Organism: Corvus hawaiiensis (hawaiian crow)
Lineage: Eukaryota; Metazoa; Chordata; Aves; Passeriformes; Corvidae
Exons: 3
Source: RefSeq, a predicted model, not a curated record